AUUGAACGCUGGCGGCAUGCCUUACACAUGCAAGUCGAACGGCAGCACGGGUGCUUGCACCUGGUGGCGAGUGGCGAACGGGUGAGUAAUACAUCGGAACAUGUCCUGUAGUGGGGGAUAGCCCGGCGAAAGCCGGAUUAAUACCGCAUACGAUCUACGGAUGAAAGCGGGGGACCUUCGGCCCUCGCGCUCUAGGGUUUGCCGAUGGCUGAUUAGCUAUUUGGUGGGGUAAAGGCCUACCAAGGCGACGAUCAGUAGCUGGUCUGAGAGGACGACCAGCCACACUGGGACUGAGACACGGCCCAGACUCCUACGGGAGGCAGCAGUGGGGAAUUUUGGACAAUGGGCGAAAGCAUGAUCCAGCAAUGCCGCGUGUGUGAAGAAGGCCUUCGGGUUGUAAAGCACUUUUGUCCGGAAAGAAAUCCUUGGCCCUAAUACGGUCGGGGGAUGACGGUACCGGAAGAAUAAGCACCGGCUAACUACGUG
This 486-nucleotide ribosomal RNA is filed under the name uncultured bacterium. Its description in RNAcentral is "partial 16S ribosomal RNA". It matches the Rfam family "Bacterial small subunit ribosomal RNA", at positions 30 to 507 of the family's 1533-position model. The record is from RNAcentral.